UGGGGAAUAUUGCACAAUGGGCGCAAGCCUGAUGCAGCCAUGCCGCGUGUGUGAAGAAGGCCUUCGGGUUGUAAAGCACUUUCAGCGAGGAGGAAGGUGGUGGACUUAAUACGUUCAUCAAUUGACGUUACUCGCAGAAGAAGCACCGGCUAACUCCGUGCCAGCAGCCGCGGUAAUACGGAGGGUGCAAGCGUUAAUCGGAAUUACUGGGCGUAAAGCGCACGCAGGCGGUUUGUUAAGUCAGAUGUGAAAUCCCCCGGGCUCAACCUGGGAACUGCAUUUGAAACUGGCAAGCUAGAGUCUCGUAGAGGGGGGAUAGAAUUCCAGGUGUAGCGGUGAAAUGCGUAGAGAUCUGGAGGAAUACCGGUGGCGAAGGCGGCCCCCCUGGACGAAGACUGACGCUCA
Molecule: ribosomal RNA, 405 nt
Filed under: uncultured bacterium
Lineage: Bacteria
Description: partial 16S ribosomal RNA
Rfam family: Bacterial small subunit ribosomal RNA
Source: RNAcentral